Molecule: long non-coding RNA, 257 nt
Filed under: Capsicum annuum
Lineage: Eukaryota; Viridiplantae; Streptophyta; Magnoliopsida; Solanales; Solanaceae
Description: long non-coding RNA (CANN_LNC020863)
Source: RNAcentral
UUGUAGAGGUAGACCGAAGAAGUACUGGGGUGAGGUGAUUAGGCGGGACAUGGAACAGUUACAGCUCACCGAGGACAUGACCCUAGAUAGGAAGGGCUGGAAGAUGCGAAUUACGGCAGAGGAUUAGGGCCAGUUCGGGUCGCUAGUAUAGGGAACUCUGUUUUAUAUUCCCUAUGGGUGCCGUAUCUAUGUUAUGUCAUCUGCUGCUGUGCUGUACUAUGUGUUUGUGUGAUAUCUCGUGACUUGAGCCGGGGGUC